UCUUCUUCUUCCUCAAGCUUCAAGAAAGCCAACAAUGGCCACCCUAUCUUCUUCCUCUUCAAAACCUCAAAACCACCCAACUCCCAUGGCUGCCCGUACCUGCUGCCUCACGUUCUUCUCCUUCAAACCAACCAAACCCUAAACCAUCGUCACCCCUCCAAAACCUCUCCGGCGAUCCUCCAUUAAAUCCGACGACCACUGCUGUCCGCCAUCGUCUUCCUCACCAUCUUGCCCAAAUGAUCCCUCAUUCCACGUCAAGCAGCAGCAACUGCUGCUGCGUUGUCCAAACUAUCCCUCACGUCCAUACAUUCCGUCGCCAUAACCAGCUCGAACACCCGAACCACCACCAAACGACCAUCGUUGUCAUGCCCGCUACUACUGUGCCGUGCUACUGCUGCUGCUCGUGUUGUUGUCUUCAGCUGUUACUGUGUCGCGUCCGCCUUCAUCUUCUUCGUCGAGCUCAAGCUUGAGCUCGACGUCCAUGGUCUCCACUCCUUCGAUGAGCUUUCCGCCAUGGUUGCUUCCAAUACACCCAGCUCCAGCAUCAUUAACGUCAAACAGAAAUUCUGGACAACAUUUUCGCACCAUUUCUGUUGAUCUUCUUGGAUUUCAAUCUGAGUUUCGAAGUGAUAAAAGUCAAUCGUUCGUCCGGGAGCAUUCAAGUGAUUUUGGGGCGAUAAUCAUUUCCGGACAGAUUUGUUUUCAUGCAAGUUCAUCGUUGAUUCAUCUCCGGUACAUAUCUGUAAAUUCAUGUCACGAAAAGCUUCAACAUGACAAAUUAAUGAAGUUCGGGAAUUAUAAUUCUGUUUUCCAUUCGUUCAAGUUCAUUAGUUAAAAAUUUGGUUUUUGUUUCAGUUGAUUAAUAUAGUAGUACGUUUGGCGUAAUGAAUAUAAGAUAAUUGUUACCUCUUAAAAUUCGUUUAAGUGUUGUAAUAAUAUCAUCUAUUUCCGAAUUUUCAUUAAGUGAAGUCAUGAUUAAAAUAUCAAGGUAGGGAACAUGGCAUAAAAUGGGCCAUUAAUUACAUCCCGUAAUAUUGUUAGCUAAAUGUAAAGUAGAAUGGAAGUAUCAAUAAAUUACAUUAUUAGUAUAUCUUUUAAAAAAAAAUCUGAUUUUCGUUUAGAUUGAUAUAAGUUGUAUGUUCAUAUAUGGCAUGAUGAUGAGUAUAUAUAUAAUCAUAUGUGGAAGGUGAGUUGAUACAAUAUUAGGAAUGGUUCAAACGUACAACUAUAUUGCAUGUGAUGUAAUUUUAUUGAAUCAAUUUGUAUAAUAGUUCUCUUUCUUAUCAA
Molecule: non-coding RNA, 1287 nt
Organism: Nicotiana tabacum (common tobacco)
Lineage: Eukaryota; Viridiplantae; Streptophyta; Magnoliopsida; Solanales; Solanaceae
Source: RefSeq, a predicted model, not a curated record